This 1213-nucleotide long non-coding RNA is filed under the name Geospiza fortis (medium ground-finch). RNAcentral describes it as "lncRNA (ENSGFOG00000007501.1)". The record is from RNAcentral. Lineage: Eukaryota; Metazoa; Chordata; Aves; Passeriformes; Thraupidae.
UUUAACAGCAUAUUUGUUACUUUGCUCUACAAACCCAGCUGGAAACACACCACUUGUUGUUGCUGUGAGAGGGGCAGCCAGCUCUGUACCCCCACGUCUGGACCUGACAUCUCUUAGAUCAUAAUGCUAAAGGCCAAAGAUAAGUCUGAGGAGAGUGGUGCAAAACCUAAGCAUGUGCUUAGUAACAGAGGAACCCAGACUGAAAGCAAGAAGCCUCUGGAAGAGACAAAAAGCGUGAAAAAGCUGGAUGAAAACAAGGGAGCGUGUGAGAAGGUGAACACUUCCAGUGCUGUAGCCCACAAAGCUGACUCCAAACCCCAGCUCAAAGAUAGGACAGCCCAGCAGCAAGGGGUAGAAGGUGCUGGCAAACCACAGAGCUCUAAGAGCUGUCCACAGCAAAAGGACAUCGAUGUCAAAGCUGUGAAUCAACACAAUGGUCUUCCCUUCGUACAUCAAGAUCGUGCAGGCAACCAAAAUGCUCCUGGUGAAGGCCAGAAGGGGGACAGAGCCCCAGGCCCUGCUGAGUGCCACAGGCAGCUCGUUCAUCAGAAGCCUGGCAAGAAUGAAAGCAAAGCUGCAGUGUCCCGGGAGGCUGCGCCCUCCACGUCCAGGGCCAUAUCUGACACGGGCUGUGAAGUGACACACACCAGGAUAUCCAUCAGUGUACAUAUGACUGACAUGAAAGAAAAGAUUGAGAUGGCCAAGGAGGGAAAUGUAAGUGACAGCAAAGGUAAAAGUUCCAAAGUGAAAUCCACACCAGCAGACUUGAAGGGAGUCAAACAGCAGCCUGACAAAUUAAAACUUCAACAGAGUACUAAAAACAUCAGCUCCAAGCCAGACUCAGAAGUUAAGGGGGACAAUAAGCAAAAUGAACUUGCACCUCAAACAGGGAAGCAAAAGCCAUUCCUGAGCAAGCCCAAAGUAGGUGAAAAAGCUGAAGAGAAAUCAGAAUUAAAACGUGAGCCCAUAACCUCACAGAAUACCUCUGCAAAGGAGCCUGUGAAAGAUGCAGGGGUAAAAGUGAAAAUCCAUCAAGAAACAGCAAAAGCAGAAAAAUGCCCAGCAGAUACCAAAUCUGAGAGGAGGGGAUCUGGGACUGCAGGAGGAAGCAGACAUGAUGCUCAGCAGGGUACAGGAGAGGCACCAGAGAAAACCAAGUCUCUGGCAGCUGGCAGAGCUCUUCCCCUUCAAGGAGAAAUCAUUGGUAAGUUGC